Homo sapiens (human) is the source of this 3337-nucleotide long non-coding RNA. Ensembl annotates it as ZBED3 antisense RNA 1. Its record names the gene ZBED3-AS1. NCBI's taxonomy places the organism in Eukaryota, Metazoa, Chordata, Mammalia, Primates, Hominidae. The record is from Ensembl.
AGUUACAGAAAGAACCCACUGCAGGGCGUCCAGUCACUUGCCCAGUGAAAAGACUGUAAUCAGACAACUUUAAUAAAGGGAGAGCAGGAGAGUGGUGACGAAUUUCCACAUUCCGAACAAGCUUGUCGAAAGAGGAGUGCAGGGAAGGAGCAAGAAUGAGGCACUGGAAGACGGCUGUAGGCGCAUGAUGUCACAAGUUAUUGGAAGAAAUCCCUCCAACCUAGGUUGGGACAGAUGAAGGCGGCGCUUAUUGGUGUUCACCAAAACACCAGCAUGGUGUACCAGCUUUGGCUAGAUGAUGCUCAGGAAAACACAGAUCCUGGUGCCGAACAUGAGGACAGGGCAGGCCGAAGGAGAAAGUGGAAGGAGGGGAGCUUCUCUCUCAGCCUCAUCCUUCUGGGCCUGGAUGCUGGAGAGUCAUGAGGUGCUUCAGAGUACUCUGGGUGAGGAGGGAAAGAUGGUGCCCACCACAUGGAGGCCAGCCUAGGUCUUGUAUGAAACCUGUGAGCAGGAGCCAGGCCGUGGCCUGCUGACUGCAUCUGCCAGAUGACUACCAAUGUGUGAGUAAACCCAUUCUCAAGCCCAAGAGAACCUCUCAGCUGAACCAGGCCCAAGUUGCUCACCCACUGAACUGCCAGUUAAAUAAAUGGUGGUUGUUUUAAUCCACUAAAUGCUGGGAUGGUUUGUUAUACAGCAGUAGGUAUCAAUACAGUGUACUUGUCAAUCUAGGAAUUCCUGUCUUGUCAAAUCUGAGAAAAUUCUCGGUCACUGUCACUUCAAAUAUUACUUCUUUCCCAUUUUCUAUUCACUCAUUCCAAAACUCCUAGUGGAUGUCUUUUCUGUCAUUUCUGGUUCUGUCUUUUGUGAUCUUAAACUUUCAUUCAUUGUUUUUCCAUUUUUACUUCCGUGUUACAUUUUGAGUCAUUUCCUUAGUUCCAGUUUGCUUAUUUUCUAUUCAACCAUUAAAUAUUUCUAUUUAGUUUUAAGUUUCAGUGGCUAUAAGUUUCAUUUAUAAAAGAACUAUUUGGUUAUUUUCUAAAUCUGCAUUUUGUUUUCACAUGUUUUUCUGUUUUUUAAUUUGUAUUUUCCUUUGCCCUUGUAAAUCAUUUAAAAUGUACUUAUUUUAUAAUCAUCUGUGGCUUGAUCUGUUUCUUUACUUCUUGGGCAUUACUUUUUCUGUUAAUUUCAUGAUCUGACCCUCAAGGUGGUUUCCUCCUAUGGUUUGUAAUUUUUAUUAUGAGCUUAUUUUCAGCAGGGAUUUCUCCCCUCUGGUGAAGAUCUGUAUGCCUUGGGUAAUGUGAUUGUCACUUCACUAUGCCUGCAAGUUUGCUUCUGAUGGCAUCCUACCGAUAUCACCAACUCUCAACCAGCUCUAAUGUUUCUUGGUAUUUCUGCCCACAGUGAAAAUUCAGAGCUCACUUCAAUGCAUGGCAUGGGCUUGGCUUCAAGUUUUUCUGUAUGACCUUUUUUUAAAUUUAUUUUUAUUUUUUUAAACCUAUAGCCCAAGGACACGGGAGCUUUUUUUCCUGAUUUGUUUUUGCCAACACUGUAGCCCUCAGGAACUCAGAUUUUGCAAAGUGCUCAAUUCCAGUUGCCUUCCUUACUCACACCAGAGACAAUAUUUUAUUGGCCUGCAAGGGUGUUAAAAUCCCAAGGGUGUUAAAAUCCCCAGAUCUCCAGGGCCUAUCAUUGGUCCAAACCCUGCAGAGGCUACAGUGACAUUAGCCCCUACUUACUGCCCAGCCUCUGAGCUCCCUCUUUGUUUCUAGAAUCUGGGGAUUUCCCUUUCUCUCUGUCUAGAGAUUGUUGUGCUGGACCCCUAUUGACUCCAAUAGGAAUGGCACCAGGUUCAAGAGGCCAAAGAAGAGACCUGGAGCCAGCAAAUGAGACAUAAGAUUUGAUUUGGGGGAACUUAUGUACAGGGAUGGACUAGUGGCAGUGGGCUGGAUAAGAGAACCACAACUGCUUUCCAAAAGCCUGCAGUUUAUACAGCACCUUCACUCAGCACCCUCUCUCCAGCAACAUCCACAUGGCAACCCCCAUUUCCUAGGCUAAGUUAUUGCUGUCAGAUGUGUUUGCCAUACAGGCUGCUGUACAGAGUAUGCUUAAGUUAUUGCUGUCAGGUACAUCCACCGUAUAUAUACAUACACAUGUACGUAUAUAUACACAUACAUGUAUGUGUGUGUGUACAUAUUUGUACUCAUAUACAUGUGUAUAUAUAGAUAUAUAAAAAAAUUUUCUCUGUGUUUCCCUGUAACAGUAACUGAAGAGGGAAUUCUUCUAUAUAAUCUCAGUCCACUAUAUUGCUAGAAGUUCUCUUCUCUAUACUUUUGAGAUAUGAAUUUUACCUUUCAAUAUUCUAAAAUUAUAACAAAGCUAUAAAUUUUGGGAAUUGGUAUAUGUUUGUUUUUAGAAAAAUUGUUAGAAACAUAAUAGCAAUGGGAUGCUUUAACAUGCUACCUUGAACCUUUACCAAAUCAAGAGAGUAAAAAUUAAGCACAAAAGAGGGAUCUAAUACUAUAAACAAGGUAGAUUUAAUACAUAUGUAUCAAACAUAGUAACCUAGAAGCAAUGAAUAUACAUUUUCUGGUGCUCAUUUAACAUUAACGACCUUCAAGAAGGCUUUAAACAGCAACAGAUAGAGUUGAGUUGCUUUGGCCUAUUGCUAAAGGCAUCUAACCCACCUGCUUUGUGGGAGGUCAUCUGCUUUGAAUCUCAACUGUAUCCAAGUCAGAUUUAAACUCUAUGGGGCAUUGGAAUUGUCCUCUGAAUCAUCUCCAACUCUGCAGGAUACAUAAUAGCACCACUUUGUUGUUCUGGAAUUUAAAGACAGGGUCUUAUUCAACUUUGGCUAUUUUUGUGCAGUCCAUGGAUCCUUGAAACAGGACAUUCUACUUUACCAAUAUCUGACUCAUAGAAGACCUAUCUAUAUACCUACCAGGUGGCUACUACCCAGUAACUCCUACCGCCAAUACCAUGACAUUUGUUUUGAAAACCUUAGCUUAUUGCAAUAUUGCUUAUAAUUAUGAAACCUUAGAAACAACUGAAAUGCCUAUCAAAGAGAGAAUUUAUAAAUAAAAUGUAACAUAUUCACGUUCUAUUUUGAUAUGAAUUACCAUAAUAUUCUAUUAGGAUAUGAAUUGUUAUAAUGGCCAUUAGAAGGAAUGGAUUGUUCCCAUAUAUAACAUAAUAUAUCCAUGUAUAAAGUAUCUAUAUAAUACCAACACGUAACAUAAUGUAAAGAAAAGAGAUUCAUGGAAUAAAAUGUGCAUGUCAUUGAUAUAAAUUUUAAAAACACAGAAAUAAUACAUUAUAUUAAGACUAUAUAUGUAUGUAA